RNAcentral lists this ribosomal RNA (301 nucleotides) under uncultured bacterium. RNAcentral describes it as "partial 16S ribosomal RNA". It matches the Rfam family "Bacterial small subunit ribosomal RNA", at positions 509 to 809 of the family's 1533-position model. The record is from RNAcentral.
CAGUAGCCGCGGGAAUACGAACCGUGCGAACGUUAUUCGGAAUUACUGGGCUUAAAGCGCGUGUAGGCGGGCCGCCACGUCGGUUGCUGAAAUCCCCCGGCUCAACCGGGGAAGUGGCAUCGAUACGAGCGGCCUAGGGGGGGUAGGGGGAUCUGGAACUUCCGGUGGAGCGGUGAAUGCGUUGAGAUCGGAAGGAACGCCCGUGGCGAAAGCGAGGUCCUGGACCCUUUCUGACGCUGAGACGCGAAAGCCAGGGGAGCGAACGGGAUUAGAUACCCCUGUAGUCCCUGUCUCUUAUACA